AGAGUUUGAUCAUGGCUCAGGACGAACGCUGGCGGCGUGCUUAACACAUGCAAGUCGAACGGGCCUUCUACUGCUUUUGUGGUGGCUGGUUAGUGGCGAACGGGUGAGUAACACGUGAGUAACCUGCCCCUUUUUUUGGGAUAACCGCCUGAAAGGGUGGCUAAUACUGGAUAUUCUGCUUUGGUCGCAUGAUCGUGGUUGGAAAGGUUUUUUCUGGUGAGGGAUGGGCUCGCGGCUUAUCAGCUUGUUGGUGGGGUAAUGGCUUACCAAGGCUUUGACGGGUAGCCGGCCUGAGAGGGCGGUCGGUCACAUUGGGACUGAGAUACGGCCCAGACUCCUACGGGAGGCAGCAGUGGGGAAUAUUGCACAAUGGACGGAAGUCUGAUGCAGCGACGCCGCGUGAGGGAUGACGGCCUUCGGGUUGUAAACCUUUUUCGCUCUUGACCAAGUGCAUGGUUUGUCAUGUGUGAGGGUAUGGGGUAAAGAAGCACCGGCUAACUACGUGCCAGCAGCCGCGGUAAUACGUAGGGUGCGAGCGUUGUCCGGAAUUAUUGGGCGUAAAGGGCUUGUAGGUGGCGUGUCGCGUCUGCCGUGAAAUUCAUUGGCUUAACUGGUGGAGUGCGGUGGGUACGGGCAUGCUUGAGUGUGGUAGGGGAGAUUGGAAUUCCUGGUGUAGCGGUGGAAUGCGCAGAUAUCAGGAGGAACACCGGUGGCGAAGGCGGAUCUCUGGGCCAUUACUGACGCUGAGGAGCGAAAGCGUGGGGAGCAAACAGGAUUAGAUACCCUGGUAGUCCACGCUGUAAACGGUGGGCACUAGGUGUGGGGACUUUUGUGGUUUCUGCGCCGUAGCUAACGCAUUAAGUGCCCCGCCUGGGGAGUACGGCCGCAAGGCUAAAACUCAAAGGAAUUGACGG
This 914-nucleotide ribosomal RNA is filed under the name uncultured bacterium. Its description in RNAcentral is "bacterial SSU rRNA". It matches the Rfam family "Bacterial small subunit ribosomal RNA", at positions 8 to 916 of the family's 1533-position model. The record is from RNAcentral.